Molecule: long non-coding RNA, 209 nt
Filed under: Carica papaya (papaya)
Lineage: Eukaryota; Viridiplantae; Streptophyta; Magnoliopsida; Brassicales; Caricaceae
Description: long non-coding RNA (CPAP_LNC009486)
Source: RNAcentral
GUGGAUCCACGGGAUCCUCAUAGACUUCCAAGAGUAGGUCUGCUUGCGGUUCCUCAUUUUCUUCCUCAUCUGGAGGGGAUAAAAAGAGUGAGUUCCAUAUGCUCUGUAAGGAAAACAAUAUUAAAUUAACAUCAUACGAUUUCAAAAGUUUAUUAUUUUAUCUUACCGCUUAGCUUCAUUGUUUACCUAACUUAUCAUUAUAAAAACCA